GUUUCCAAGGUGGGAAUGGCGUCUUUGCUUCGUGCGUGAGCAGUAUGUGAGUAUUUGUGCAUCUUAUUUUGUAAUUUUAUGAGUUGAUGAUAAUGUGUACUCUCCCAAAUCAAUGGGCUAAUUCAGCCAUGAUUGCUAAAACCCAGCAACAUACUUAUCAAAUGCAAUUGGCUGAUGCAGUCCAAAUGCAGGCUCAUGCUUGAGCAGCACCACAAUUACAAGCUAGCCAGAGUCAUGUAGUUCAAGCAGGUCAUGCACAAGUCGAUGCUCAAGUUCAGACCACGCAAGAAGGUAACUCAUUAAUAACUAAUUAAAAACAAGAGCAAAAUACGGGAAAAGUUGCAAGACAAAGCACAGAAAUGGCAGCGAUUUCAGCCAAAAGAAAAUUUGGCUUCGUUCACUCACAGAAAGAAGACAUGCCUCCUUAACAUGUCCUUAAUUUCAACAUAACUACUUGACAGAUAGGCUCUAAAUCUCGCCCGAAGAGGCUGUUACCAUCUACACAACAACCGUUCAUUCACGUCGUUUUGGUGUUGAGUUUUUGCAAAACCAUUCAUCAACCAAAUUUUCGGGACAAUCAUCGAUGCACAUUUUAUGGAACCAUCCGUUACAGCCUUUACUGACAAAUCCAACAAACUCAAACCCUUUUCUCUCCCACCCUGUUCUGCGACAACUACAGUACAAAAUUUUUCUUCCACCGUUUCUGAGACCUCUUACAUCGACUUUGGGUUGAUGGAAACGCGGUUAACUUUCCUAAUGCCAAACAGUUAACAAGAUGUUUGAAAGAGACUGGACAUACAGCUCAGGAUAUGUUCGUUCCUACAUGGUUUGUCGGGACAACUAUCAUACACCAGUACGUGUUAAGACUGGCUAAACCCUUUGGAAACUAAAACCCAGUGUACCGAACCAUCAUGAAGAAUCUGCAUCCACUGUUCACUCUGCGCCCGGGGAGAUUCCAGACUACCUCGAAUGGUGCAAAAGAACAAGCCACCGAUAGCUGGAUACUGAUUUUCAUGAUAGACUGUGCCAGUUUUAUGUCGCCGGACCUCAGUGUGUUGGCCUUGGUGCAUCAUUGGCGGUUACAGCUGAAGCGACGGGAACUUUUAUUUGGUCGUCAUGUGGAUCAUCGAUGAGUGAAGUUACGAUGGGAAUGUCCAUUUCGUUGUCAAAUGGAACAUCGGCGUUUUUAGCCUUUAUGGGAACGUCCAUUUUGCUGACAGGCGAUACACCGGCGGAUGUGAUAAUGGGAACGUACUUUUUGCAAAUGGAUUGUUUUUUUUGUGUGAUAGCUGCGGCUUCCUCACUCAGGAUAGCGGCUUCCUCGUCCAAUCUAUCUUCAAGAUCGUUUCUUUCAGCCUGUCGUCUUUUUGCCUCCUUGUGGUACGAAUUGAAAUAGCCGUUGUUCUCUUUUGGCCUGCCCCUUAUCAUUGGAGCAAACAGUAGACGAAGGGCAGCCCAUGAAGAAACAUAGAACGAUAAGCAAAUUCGCAUGGGGAAGUAGGACGACAUAAGGCUCACCAUUACUUUCUUCCUUUUGGUCCUACUGUUGACUGGCUUGCAUCAAUUGAAUGGGCUUGUUGAGCUUGAUCAGGUCAUUAAUAUCGUGAAAGGGCCGCAUCUUCUCCUGAAAAUCGGUGAUGCUCAGCGCACAAAGUGUUUCUGCCAAUUUUCGGAAAAAAUUGCUGGCCAAGUUGUAUUGAUCCCUCUCCGUUCAAGGCAUACUUGGUUUUUUCAUCUUAUGGAAUCCGAUAGGUAUACCUCCAAACACUCCUUCCAGUGCUCUGCGAAAGAUCCCACAGGAAUUUCUACGUUGUCCUUGAAGUGGAAGUAGAGGAUGUGGCGACACCGUAGUAAAAAAGUCAAAUGAAAAUUACAGGGAAAUGGCGAAAUGGAAUUGGUGAACUUUUUAAUGAGUUCGGGUUUAGACUUCGUGGAAAAUCGGACCUCCCGUAUCCUUUCAUUCAACUUCCGGUCGCUUAAACGCAGUAAAGCAAUUUUAACAAGCGUCCGGAGAACUUCAGACAAUCUCUUUGUCUUCUGCAGCACGUCUUUUAUGACAAUUCGUGGUAUUAUUCCUGAACGUCGGUAAAUCCCAUCGUCCUAGCCCACAUAACAAUUUAAUGCAGGAAUUUUUCCUAAAUCUGUCUUACUAGGACGUGCAGUGCUGGACCGCCAAAGGACGCUAUAAGGACGCGCUUAAGCCCCGGUCCUUUUAAAAAAUAAAUCACGUUCCUCUGAAGACGUCUUAUUUUGAUCCAUUUCUUUAAAAGCCACGUUUCCACAAUUAACAGUGUAGCGUUGGGGUUAAA
Long non-coding RNA from Daphnia magna, 2309 nucleotides. RefSeq lists it as uncharacterized. The transcript is spliced from 9 exons. NCBI's taxonomy places the organism in Eukaryota, Metazoa, Arthropoda, Branchiopoda, Diplostraca, Daphniidae. The record is from RefSeq and is a predicted model, not a curated record.